This 433-nucleotide ribosomal RNA is filed under the name uncultured bacterium. RNAcentral describes it as "partial 16S ribosomal RNA". It matches the Rfam family "Bacterial small subunit ribosomal RNA", at positions 29 to 507 of the family's 1533-position model. The record is from RNAcentral.
AACGAACGCUGGCGGCAGGCCUAACACAUGCCAGUCGAGCGGACCCUUCGGGGUUAGCGGCGGACGGGUGAGUAACGCGUGGGAACGUGCCCUUUGCUUCGGAAUAGCCCUGGGAAACUGGGAGUAAUACCGGAUACGCCCUUUUGGGGAAAGAUUUAUCGGCGAAGGAUCGGCCCGCGUUGGAUUAGGUAGUUGGUGGGGUAAUGGCCUACCAAGCCGACGAUCCAUAGCUGGUUUGAGAGGAUGAUCAGCCACACUGGGACUGAGACACGGCCCAGACUCCUACGGGAGGCAGCAGUGGGGAAUCUUAGACAAUGGGGGAAACCCUGAUCUAGCCAUGCCGCGUGAGCGAUGAAGGCCUUAGGGUUGUAAAGCUCUUUCACCGGGGAAGAUAAUGACGGUACCCGGAGAAGAAGCCCCGGCUAACUCCGUG